CCUACGGGUGGCAGCAGUGGGGAAUAUUGCGCAAUGGGCGAAAGCCUGACGCAGCGACGCCGCGUGAGGGAUGAAGGUCUUCGGAUCGUAAACCUCUGUCAGCAGGGAAGAACGGUCACUGUGCUAAUCAGCAGUGAAUUGACGGUACCUGCAAAGGAAGCACCGGCUAACUCCGUGCCAGCAGCCGCGGUAAUACGGAGGGUGCGAGCGUUAAUCGGAAUUACUGGGCGGACAGCGCUCGUAGGCGGUAUGUCAAGUCAGAGGUGAAAUCCCCGGGCUCAACGUGGGAACUGCCUUUGAAACUGGCAAGCUGGAGUGUGUGAGAGGGUAGUAGAAUUCCAGGUGUAGGAGUGAAAUCCGUAGAUAUCUGGAGGAACAUCAGUGGCGAAGGCGACUAUCUGGCACAUAACUGACGCUGAGGAGCGAAAGCGUGGGUAGCAAACAGGAUUAGAUACCCUUGUAGUC
This 465-nucleotide ribosomal RNA is filed under the name uncultured bacterium. RNAcentral describes it as "partial 16S ribosomal RNA". It matches the Rfam family "Bacterial small subunit ribosomal RNA", at positions 338 to 795 of the family's 1533-position model. The record is from RNAcentral.